Molecule: long non-coding RNA, 1400 nt
Organism: Gasterosteus aculeatus aculeatus (three-spined stickleback)
Lineage: Eukaryota; Metazoa; Chordata; Actinopteri; Perciformes; Gasterosteidae
Source: Ensembl
UGAUUUCAUAGGUGUGAACUGUAUGUAACGUAGCAGUUAGCUGCCUUUAUCUAGAACAAUGUUCCGUCAGCAACUUGCAUUCCAACACGUGCUGUAUUUGUUGAAAAAGUUACAUCUCAAAAUACCAACUCAAGGAGCCUACUCUAUGUAAAAUGAAGUGUAAAUUUAUGUGUUUGGCUGAGCUUAUUGUGAAGCAGGGCUGCUCUUCAGAUGAAUGCGUAGACACGGGUCAACAGUGUCUUACUAAAAGGUUAAACUCCAACAACCAGCGUUGAUGGAGGCCUUAUUUUCUGUGACUUUUUGGGCUUUCAAAGGCCUGUGGACAGGAAUUCUAUUCACCACGUGCAGGACAAAAUUAACUUUCAGUACAAAGGGAAUACAUGUAAAAUAUUGAAUAUCUGGAGUCACGAUUUUUCUGCUCCUAAUUACGGAGAGACGCCAUAUGAAACGGAGCGAUGGGUAUGUAAGAGAUGCUGAGGAGGAUAUUGUAAAGACAACAAAGUUGACCUCUUUGUGCCAAUUAUCAUCUCGCAGCUGAACUUUGAGACAAACAUUUGACAUUGAUUCCCCAUAAAUAUGGAACUCAAAACAUGGGACCUCUUGUGUCUGUGGAGAACCAGACAAAGAAGCGAUGGAGGCCUCACGGAGAGUCUUAUUAACGAAAUUAGAAAAGGUGUGUGGUCAACUGACGUAAUGGAUGUUAUGUAUGCUACCACAGAUUUCCCUUUAUGAAUAUCAAAGGCUAAAACAUUCAUCAAUUCAGUACUUUUCAAAAUAUAAACCCAAAGUUCGUGACAGUGUCUCAUUCAUACAACGUGAUCAACAAAUGCAGAAUACACAACCCACUAACUGCGAGGAGAGGAUUUGUUAAGAACCAAAAUUAGAUCCUUCGCAUAUUGAAGAGAUCAAUGGAAUAGUCUGAACGGGGGGGUUCUCAUAUGACGAUGGCAAACAGAAGGUGAUCCGUCUUGAUCUGCAAAUGAAGAAAGUAUGUAAAAAAUAUUUUGUAUCCACAAUAUGUACAGUUGUGUACUGUCAGCUAUAUUUGGCCAAUCUGAGAAUAUAAAAAAGAGCAGUACAGUUAGAGACUAGUUUGUAUGUUUCUUUCUUUUUUGUAAAAGCAGUGUCUACUAUGCAAACUUGACAUUGGUUAUCUUGAUAGCAGUUUAUAAGUCUAUAAAUAGAGCUGUGCUUGUAAGUGCAUUUUUAUUUUACUAUCAGGGGUGAUUUGAUUUCGUUAGUGUCGGGUGGUGAAGGUCCAUUUUUGCUAAUUCUGGCACGCUUCAUGAAUCUUGCUCAAUCUUGCUGAAUGCUCGCCUCUCUAUCUCCUCUAACUGUUUUCUGUACAAAGUGUAAGAAAGAAUUUUUAAGACAAUUAAUAAAUUAUAUUUAUAAGCAAU